CCCCCGUGACAGUUGGUAUCAGAGCACCGAUUUGAGGAGUGUCGGCAAAAUUAUGGCUGAAGCAAGCAACAAAAUGCAAGAAACAAGUAGCAAGGCGCAAGUUGGGCAAGAAAAAUCUUCAUUGGUGGGACAGUCGGUUGGUGCAAAGAGCAAAGUGCUGCCCAUGUUUGUGAGCUCUUCUAAGUUGAGAGAGGAGUUAGGGAGCAUUGAAACAAGGCUGGACAGGAUGAAGAACCACUUGAUCAAUGAGGAGACGAGAGUCGACAAAAUAGAAGACCACUUGAUAAUCGGGGAUGACAGAUUUGAGGAGCUGGAGAGCCGAGUAAGUGGACUUGGUGAAGGGUUAGAGGAGACCCGAGGUGAAUUCCAAGCUGCACUCAAGGAAACCCGAGACAAGUUGGUGCCUGAAAUUGAAGCCUUGAAAAUUGCUCAUGCCGAAGAGAUGUCCGCAGUGAAGGAAGACAACCGUGUUUUGAGAGAAAUGGUAGAGAAAUUGCAAGAGGAAAUGGUGUUGCUCAAGAGAUUGGUGACCCGAGAGAAUGGGACCAGUCCUCACUCUACACUCUCAGUCCCUAUGGCAAGGGUGGAGAAACCCGAGCCGGGCGCAUCCAAGGAAGAAGGAAGCGCGGGGAAGAAGACAUUCCACAGCCGGGGUGAAGACCGAAGAGGUUCAAGGGCAGUGUUGAAGUGCUUUCGGUGCAGGGGACCGCACAAGAAGAAAGAUUGUCCGAAGAGGGCAGUUGUUUUGGCUAAGGGAAAAGAGCCGGAACUACCUACUCCACCAUCGGAGCCAGCAAGUGUGGAGAGCUUGCCGUGUGGGUCACUUGGUGCCAUGGGUUUGGUCAGACCGAGUGAGGUUCCUAGCAGUGAUGGGGAGCGGGACAGUGGCAUGGUGGAUGCCAAGAUUGUGUCUGUGUUGCCGAGGGAGCUACCAUCUGAGGAAGAGGUGGACUGUGUGAGUGAGCCAGUAGCCGGAAGUCCGAGAGAUGUGGUAUUGCCAAAGCAAGAGAGGCCGAGGCAACGACGCUCAAGGAGGAGCAGGAAUAGGGGCAAAGCCGAGAGGAAGGCGAAGUCACCUAGCCACAAGGACAGAGAAGGUACUGAAGCACAGAAAAAGGCAGAAGGCAACGGGUCGCAUGGACAUGAGAGAGGUCCUAGGCGACAGAGGCAGUUCCGAGGCAGAUUCGACCGGGGAGGUCAUUCAUGGCAGUUGACUGAUUGGGUGUGUCAGUUGGCCAGUUUAGUGGCAAAUGGACUGAAAUUGCUGGAUGAAAAGCAAGCCGAUCGACAGAGAAAGAUUGGUCAGCCGGGAAUUGCCACGGGCUCAUGGGGCAAGAGGCGAGGUUCACUGCCCAGGUGGAGGCAGCGUGAUGAGCCAGUGAAGAGCCGUCAACUUGAGGCAACGGGGGCGUUGCCGAGUUGAGUGGGGGAGAGUGUCACCCCAUUUUGUUUUGCCCCGAGGAGUCCAAAUUAUUUUGUGUGUUGGCUGCCCAAUUUGAGGUCCAAUGGUGCGCAUGAAAAUUGCUAAGGGAGAAUGGGACGUGAAGAAUUGCCAUGCAUGGGUUCCUUGAAGUGGGACGUGAGAAUUGUCACUUGGCAUGGGCAAUUGGAGAGAGUUCACGUGGGAUUUGCAUGGCAUGGAAAAUGAGUGGAGCACUUGUGGAAUAAUUAGUGGAGUUCCACGUGAGAUUUGCCAUUUGCAUGGGAAGUGAGUGGGGGCGCACUAUGGAUUGAAAUGGGGAGCACAUGGUGCGGCAAAGUGGAGUUGGCCACUUACAUGCAUGAAUGUCCAUUUACAUGCAUGAGUUAUGCAUGGGACGUGAGACAAAGUGCUAGAAAUGGUGGCCAUGUGAUACGCCAAUGUGGAAGCAACAUUUGGACGUGAAGAUUUGGCAUGGCAUGGAAAGAGUGGACAUGUGCCGUGAUGGUGGCCAUCACAUGCAGCGCAUAAGUGGGACGUCCACUUCCAUUGUAUUUGGGACAUGCAAGCCAACGUGAAAUGGAGAGUGAAAUGUGGCGCACUAAAAUGGCCUAAAUGGGGAAUUGCAUGUGAUGAGCACUUAGUGGGACAUGUGGCGCGCCCAAGUGAAGAUGCCAUGUCCAAGUGCGGCACACCAAUUGAAGACAACAUGCAUGAACAUACAUGCACAUGGGACAUGUGAGAAUUGAGUGGGCGCAUCAUGAAGCCAAUAUGGCCCGCACAUGCUCGGUGGAGUGGGACGCCACUUCUUUGGUGUGUUGGACGUGUAUUGAAAUUGUCAUGGUGCAGCCCACAUGGCCUUGACAAGUGGUAGUUGGCAUGGAAAUUGCUAGGUGGCUUUGGGAGAGCACGGCAAUUGGAGCAUGGAACCAAUUUGCAUGGCCAGCCCAAAUUCAUGCAACGUGAAUUUUAAAUGGCCAAGGAACAUGCAGCGUGAAGUGUGGUGACCAGCCCAUGUGGGCGCACACAUAGCCAACAGCCCAUGUGGGGCGCACUAAAGUGGACAGCCCAUUUAGUGACCAAUGAAGAGGCGGCAAUUUUCCCUCCAUGCCCAUUUGAAAUGCUCCAAGUGGAGCUAGGUGUCAAUGCAGCCGGUCAUCAAUUGUCCUUCCCAUAAUAUUUUAAUUGUGCAAAUUAAAAUGGUGUAAUAUUGGCCACACAAUGGCUCUUGUGAGAGGCAGCCGGCAAAGCAUGUAAUAUAUAAGGGUUUGUUCCCUUAUUUGUGUAGAGAGACGUAGACUU
Molecule: unclassified non-coding RNA, 2722 nt
Filed under: Hevea brasiliensis (rubber tree)
Lineage: Eukaryota; Viridiplantae; Streptophyta; Magnoliopsida; Malpighiales; Euphorbiaceae
Source: RNAcentral